AGUUCUCAAUCUUUUCUUCAUUUGAAGUAAAGGCUUGGACUUUGGAGGCUUUUGCUGGACUCCCUCUCUUGAUGGAGAUCGGCUCCUCUUAAAUGGAUUAGUAGGAACCCUUUUGUGCUGGUCCUCGACGUGAUAAGACUUUUUUCUACGUCUGGAACUUUUAGCCAUGAGGCCUGCUUCCAAUUGUCUCUCGUGAGACAAAUCAUUUGAACCC
RNAcentral lists this unclassified non-coding RNA (214 nucleotides) under uncultured Lactarius. RNAcentral's name for it is "sequence contains ITS2". The record is from RNAcentral. Lineage: Eukaryota; Fungi; Basidiomycota; Agaricomycetes; Russulales; Russulaceae.